Molecule: ribosomal RNA, 484 nt
Filed under: uncultured bacterium
Lineage: Bacteria
Description: partial 16S ribosomal RNA
Rfam family: Bacterial small subunit ribosomal RNA
Source: RNAcentral
AGUGAACGCUGGCGGCAGGCCUAACACAUGCAAGUCGAGCGGAUGAAGGGAGCUUGCUCCUUGAUUCAGCGGCGGACUGGUGGGUAAUUCCUAGGAAUCUGCCUAUUAGUUGUGGAUAACGUCCUGAAACGGGCGCUAAUACCGCAUACGUCCUGAGGGAGAAAGGGGGGGAUCUUCGGACCUCACGCUAUCAGAUGAGCCUAGGUCGGAUUAGCUAGUUGGUGGGGUAAAGGCCUACCAAGGCGACGAUCCGUAACUGGUCUGAGAGGAUGAUCAGUCACACUGGAACUGAGACACGGUCCAGACUCCUACGGGAGGCAGCAGUGGGGAAUAUUGGACAAUGGGCGAAAGCCUGAUCCAGCCAUGCCGCGUGUGUGAAGAAGGUCUUCGGAUUGUAAAGCACUUUAAGUUGGGAGGAAGGGCAGUAAGUUAAUACCUUGCUGUUUUGACGUUACCAAAAGAAUAAGCACCGGCUAACUUCGUG